GACUCCAGGCUGAAGUCAGCCAUUUCACGAUCUGCAAUUCACAUCCUUUUGUCUCCUCAGCAGAAGCAGCUUGUCCAAAGGAAGCAGGGCCUGCAACUUCCCAGUCCUCCCUUCAAUUACCGCAGUGCAGUCCGUGUUGACCCAAAUUUAAGCCAGGAGGGUUUGACAUCAGCAAGAGCAGCCUCAGAAAGCAGCAAUGUGGCUCUAGAAGAGGCACAUGAAUUCCUCAAACCCUUUGUUAARUAAACAAAAUAUCGAUGUUUGCGAUGCUGUAUGUCUUUGAAAAGGCUGCACUGAAAAACCAGCAGUCUCAAUUACACUUUGGAAGGCUUCCCGUCAGACCUACUUAUGUCUGUCUCCAAGUUCAAAGUGUCGGAUCACGUUGAGGUUUUCUGAGCAGCAAGCAGGGCUUGGAAUGUCACCGAAAGAAAACAAAACCGAGUUCUGUGGAAAAUGGUGAAUAAGUCAGUAGCUGUGCAUUUUGGGAAAGCUUUCAUAAGUGAAAGAAGAAGGAGAAACUAGUCAGCUAAAGGAAUCUUAUGCUGUAGGGAGAUGGAAUUUCUUGAGGCAGGCAUGCUGCUGAUGCUGGUUUGAGGAUCAAGUGGAAAUGUGUGCAGGUGCUGCCUGUGUCUGAUGUCCCCAGACCGUGGGCUGAUGCACUGCAUUCCCUGUGCUGAUGGCUUUGCUAAUCUGGGUGCAGUCUACACUGUGAWUUUGCCAAGAAAGKUUGGACCAGAUGAUCCUUMAAAUCCCUUCCUGGUGUUCCAUGACUGGAACAUUAACCAUUGGUCUGAGUCGUCACUUUCCACUGUAACUGUGAACUCCAUCAGCAGUAACCAUGGGUACAGCUUUGKGACAUGGUGACAGAUCUAACAGAURCAAAGACUUUGAAGCUGGGAUUAGGAAUGUGAAAGCAUCCCAAAAAACUAGUCAUACAUGAACAUGGAUCAAAGCCUAGAAUGGAACAAAAUGUGUGUCUCUCAAGGUUGGAUUUCCA
Long non-coding RNA from Malurus melanocephalus (red-backed fairy wren), 997 nucleotides. RefSeq lists it as uncharacterized. Lineage: Eukaryota; Metazoa; Chordata; Aves; Passeriformes; Maluridae. The record is from RefSeq and is a predicted model, not a curated record. The transcript has 3 exons.